RNAcentral lists this ribosomal RNA (344 nucleotides) under uncultured bacterium. RNAcentral's name for it is "partial 16S ribosomal RNA". It matches the Rfam family "Bacterial small subunit ribosomal RNA", at positions 338 to 699 of the family's 1533-position model. The record is from RNAcentral.
CCUACGGGUGGCAGCAGUGAGGAAUAUUGCUCAAUGGACGCAACUCUGAUCCAGCGAUGCCGCGUGCACGAUGACGUAUUUCGGUAUUGAAAGCUGCAUCAGCAGGGAAGAAAAUGACGGUACCUGUCUCUGAAUCACCGUCUAACUACGUGCCAGCAGCCGCGGCAAUACGGAGGGUGCAAGCGUUAUCCGGAUUUACUGGGUGUAAAGGGAGCGUAGACGGCGGUGCAAGCCAGAAGUGAAAGCCCGGGGCUCAACCCCGGAACUGCAUCUGGAACUGUGCUGCUAGAGUGUCGUCGGGGCAGGCGGAAUGUCUAGUGUAGCGGUGAAAUGCGUAGAGAUUA